UACGUAGGUGGCAAGCGUUAUCCGGAAUUAUUGGGCGUAAGGCGCGCGCAGGUGGUUUCUUAAGUCUGAUGUGAAAGCCCACGGCUCAACCGUGGAGGGUCAUUGGAAACUGGGAGACUUGAGUGCAGAAGAGGAAAGUGGAAUUCCAUGUGUAGCGGUGAAAUGCGCAGAUAUCGGGAAGAACACCCGUGGCGAAGGCGGCUCUCUGGGACGGUACUGACGCUGAGACGCGAAAGCGUGGGGAGCGAACAGG
RNAcentral lists this ribosomal RNA (253 nucleotides) under uncultured bacterium. Its description in RNAcentral is "partial 16S ribosomal RNA". It matches the Rfam family "Bacterial small subunit ribosomal RNA", at positions 524 to 776 of the family's 1533-position model. The record is from RNAcentral.